UACGAAGGGGGCUAGCGUUGUCCGGAAUUACUGGGCGUAAAGAGCUCGUAGGUGGUUUGUCGCGUUGUUCGUGAAAACUCACAGCUCAACUGUGGGCGUGCGGGCGAUACGGGCAGACUUGAGUACUGCAGGGGAGACUGGAAUUCCUGGUGUAGCGGUGGAAUGCGCAGAUAUCAGGAGGAACACCAAUGGCGAAGGCAGGUCUCUGGGCCGAAACUGACGCUGAGGAGCGAAAGCGUGGGGAGCGAACAGG
Molecule: ribosomal RNA, 253 nt
Filed under: uncultured bacterium
Lineage: Bacteria
Description: partial 16S ribosomal RNA
Rfam family: Bacterial small subunit ribosomal RNA
Source: RNAcentral